CCUACGGGGGGCAGCAGUGGGGAAUAUUGGGCAAUGGGCGCAAGCCUGACCCAGCAACGCCGCGUGAAGGAAGAAGGCUUUCGGGUUGUAAACUUCUUUUAUUGAGGACGAAACAAAUGACGGUACUCAAUGAAUAAGCCACGGCUAACUACGUGCCAGCAGCCGCGGUAAUACGUAGGUGGCAAGCGUUAUCCGGAUUUACUGGGUGUAAAGGGCGUGUAGGCGGGACUGCAAGUCAGAUGUGAAACCCAUGGGCUCAACCCAUGGCCUGCAUUUGAAACUGUAGUUCUUGAGUGAUGGAGAGG
RNAcentral lists this ribosomal RNA (305 nucleotides) under uncultured bacterium. RNAcentral describes it as "bacterial SSU rRNA". It matches the Rfam family "Bacterial small subunit ribosomal RNA", at positions 338 to 657 of the family's 1533-position model. The record is from RNAcentral.